RNAcentral lists this ribosomal RNA (459 nucleotides) under uncultured bacterium. Its description in RNAcentral is "partial 16S ribosomal RNA". It matches the Rfam family "Bacterial small subunit ribosomal RNA", at positions 338 to 795 of the family's 1533-position model. The record is from RNAcentral.
CCUACGGGUGGCAGCAGUGAGGAAUAUUGGUCAAUGGGCGGGAGCCUGAACCAGCCAAGCCGCGUGAAGGAUGACUGCGCCAAGCGUCGUAAACUUCUUUUGUCGGGGAACAAAGGGCGCCACGUGUGCCGUUUUGAGUGUACCCGAAGAAAAAGCAUCGGCUAACUCCGUGCCAGCAGCCGCGGUAAUACGGAGGAUGCGAGCGUUAUCCGGAUUUAUUGGGUUUAAAGGGUGCGUAGGCGGUGCGGAAAGUCAGCGGUAAAAGCCCGGGGCUCAACCACGGCGAGCCGUUGAAACUGGCGGAGUAGAGACGGCGAGAAGUACGCGGAAUGCGCGGUGUAGCGGUGAAAUGCAUAGAUAUCGCGCAGAACUCCGAUUGCGAAGGCAGCGUACCGGCGCCGGACUGACGCUGAGGCACGAAAGCGUGGGUAUCGAACAGGAUUAGAUACCCUGGUAGUC